GAGUUUGAUCCUGGCUCAGGAUGAACGCUGGCGGCGUGCCUAAUACAUGCAAGUCGAGCGAACAGAUAAGGAGCUUGCUCCUUUGACGUUAGCGGCGGACGGGUGAGUAACACGUGGGUAACCUACCUAUAAGACUGGAAUAACUCCGGGAAACCGGGGCUAAUGCCGGAUAAUAUUUAGAACCGCAUGGUUCUAAGGUGAAAGAUGGUUUUGCUAUCACUUAUAGAUGGACCCGCGCCGUAUUAGCUAGUUGGUGGGGUAAUGGCUUACCAAGGCAACGAUACGUAGCCGACCUGAGAGGGUGAUCGGCCACACUGGAACUGAGACACGGUCCAGACUCCUACGGGAGGCAGCAGUAGGGAAUCUUCCGCAAUGGGCGAAAGCCUGACGGAGCAACGCCGCGUGAGUGAUGAAGGUCUUCGGAUCGUAAAACUCUGUUAUUAGGGAAGAACAAAUGUGUAAGUAACUGUGCACGUCUUGACGGUACCUAAUCAGAAAGCCACGGCUAACUACGUGCCA
Molecule: ribosomal RNA, 519 nt
Filed under: uncultured bacterium
Lineage: Bacteria
Description: bacterial SSU rRNA
Rfam family: Bacterial small subunit ribosomal RNA
Source: RNAcentral